GACGAACGCUGGCGGCGUGCUUAACACAUGCAAGUCGAACGAUGAAGCCGGAGCUUGCUCCGGUGGAUUAGUGGCGAACGGGUGAGUAACACGUGAGCAAUCUGCCCUUGACUCUGGGAUAACUGCGGGAAACUGUAGCUAAUACCGGAUACGACACCUUGGUGCAUCCCAGGGUGUGGAAAGAAUUUCGGUCAAGGAUGAGCUCGCGGCCUAUCAGCUAGUUGGUGAGGUAAUGGCUCACCAAGGCGACGACGGGUAGCCGGCCUGAGAGGGUGACCGGCCACACUGGAACUGAGACACGGUCCAGACUCCUACGGGAGGCAGCAGUGGGGAAUAUUGCACAAUGGGCGAAAGCCUGGUGCAGCAACGCCGCGUGAGGGAUGAAGGCCUUCGGGUUGUAAACCUCUUUUAGCAGGGAAGAAGCGAAAGUGACGGUACCUGCAGAAAAAGCACCGGCUAACUACGUGCCAGCCGCCGCGGUAA
This 483-nucleotide ribosomal RNA is filed under the name uncultured bacterium. RNAcentral describes it as "partial 16S ribosomal RNA". It matches the Rfam family "Bacterial small subunit ribosomal RNA", at positions 28 to 523 of the family's 1533-position model. The record is from RNAcentral.